This 200-nucleotide unclassified non-coding RNA is filed under the name soil metagenome. Its description in RNAcentral is "partial contains internal transcribed spacer 2 and large subunit ribosomal RNA". The record is from RNAcentral.
CCUGUUCGAGCGCCAUUUCAACCCUCAAGCCCCGCUUGGUGAUGGGCCACGUCGAUGAGGCGGGCCCGAAACUCUUGAACGCGCCGACGGUCGGCUCCUAGCGUAGCAAAACCCUCGCUUUGGAAACCGGCUGGCGGCAGCCUCGAAAGAAUACAUACAAGGUUGGCCUCGGAUCAGGUGGGGAUACCCGCUGAACUUAA